RNAcentral lists this ribosomal RNA (613 nucleotides) under uncultured bacterium. RNAcentral's name for it is "bacterial SSU rRNA". It matches the Rfam family "Bacterial small subunit ribosomal RNA", at positions 8 to 631 of the family's 1533-position model. The record is from RNAcentral.
AGAGUUUGAUCCUGGCUCAGGACGAACGCUGGCGGCGCGCCUAACACAUGCAAGUCGAACGGAAAUGAUUGAAGUUUACUUUGGUCAUUUUAGUGGCGGACGGGUGAGUAACACGUGAGCAACCUGCCUUUCAGAGGGGGAUAACGUUUGGAAACGAACGCUAAUACCGCAUAACGUAUACGGAUGGCAUCGUCUGUAUACCAAAGGAGGAAUCCGCUGAAAGAUGGGCUCGCGUCCGAUUAGCUAGAUGGUGAGGUAACGGCCCACCAUGGCGACGAUCGGUAGCCGGACUGAGAGGUUGACCGGCCACAUUGGGACUGAGACACGGCCCAGACUCCUACGGGAGGCAGCAGUGAGGGAUAUUGGGCAAUGGGGGCAACCCUGACCCAGCGACGCCGCGUGAGGGAAGACGGUCUUCGGAUUGUAAACCUCUGUCUUUGGGGACGAAGAAGGACGGUACCCAAGGAGGAAGCUCCGGCUAACUACGUGCCAGCAGCCGCGGUAAUACGUAGGGAGCGAGCGUUGUCCGGAAUUACUGGGUGUAAAGGGAGCGUAGGCGGGAAGGCAAGUUGGAUGUGAAAACUGUGGGCUCAACCUACAGACUGCAUUCAAA